This 483-nucleotide ribosomal RNA is filed under the name uncultured bacterium. Its description in RNAcentral is "partial 16S ribosomal RNA". It matches the Rfam family "Bacterial small subunit ribosomal RNA", at positions 28 to 507 of the family's 1533-position model. The record is from RNAcentral.
GACGAACGCUGGCGGCGUGCUUAACACAUGCAAGUCGAACGCUGAAGCUCAGCUUUUGUUGGGUGGAUGAGUGGCGAACGGGUGAGUAACACGUGAGUAACCUGCCUCCUUCUUUGGGAUAACGCCCGGAAACGGGUGCUAAUACUGGAUAUUCACUGGUCUUCGCAUGGGGGUUGGUGGAAAGGGUUUUUCUGGUGGGGGAUGGGCUCGCGGCCUAUCAGCUUGUUGGUGGGGUGAUGGCCUACCAAGGCUUUGACGGGUAGCCGGCCUGAGAGGGUGAACGGUAACAUUGGGACUGAGAUGCGGCCCAGACUACGACGGGAGGCAGAAGUGGCGAAUAUUGCAGAAUGGGUGCAAGCCUGAUGCAGCGACGGCGCGGGAGGGAUGGGGGCCUUCGGGUUGUGAACCUCUUUCGCUCAUGGUCAAGCAGCAACAAUGGUUGUGGUGAGGGUAGUGGGUAAAGAAGCGCCGGCUAACUACGUG